AAAUUUUUAAGAUAAAGGCUUAGUUGAGUUGAUUAGGUUUAUAUGAAUACACAUCUGCCACGAUAAAGAGAGAGAUAGAGGAAGGGAGGCAAAGAGAGCCUUCAAAUACCAAGCCACUAUCUUGCCAGUGAUCCAAUUCAGAAGACUUGCAUUCAGCAACUAGAAUAAUUCUCCCUAAUAUGAUAAGCAAUUUCCAUGAUGGAAUUUUAUUCAAUUUCUAAGAACAAAAAAUAGGCUCACUUUAUUGCUUGCAAUGACAUCCAACUGGAGAUAAAACUCAGUCUUGUUUUGUGCUAUUUAGAAUUUAUAUUCAGAUACAAGGUGAUGGUUUUAUGUCUAGAGACACUAAGUUGACUCACAACUCACAAGUCCUAAAGCAUACUAAUCUCACAAACCUCAAAAUGAGAACAUCAUUAUAUUAUUUUAUCCAGCAUGCAUCCACUUAGCAGACAUACUGAAGAGAGACAAAUUUUCCGUUGUAUUUUAUUCAUAUAAAAUAUCUAUUUAUUGCCUUAUUUAGAUUUGUACUUGGUAUUUAUGUUCCAAUACCAAACCUAUGGUGAAACUAUGAGAAAAAGGGGAGAAAAUCUGCUUAAAAACUGAUACCAUCUCCCACAAUUCUAGUUCUAGCACAUCUACAAAUUAAACACUCAGAAUCUGGUUUCAAAAGAAAAACAACACCCACACACUUAGAAUCCAGACAAUGACAGCACACAUUUUUGAAGCCAACUUAUUUGGAAAGGUAAUAACAAUCGGGCAGUAUUUUUAAAGAAAAGUUGAAAAGAUUAUAUUUAUUAAAAAAGGGUAUCAAGCACAUCGGCAGAAAGUUUUCUGACACAUUAAAGUUUUUGCCACAAAGAUUUUAUUCAGGCUUCAGUUGAAAUUGACUUUCCUAGUUGUCCACAGUCCACUGGACCUAAAUAAAAGUUUAAACUACCAAUAUAUCCUUCUACAACAGCAUGAUCCACAGAGAAAAAGUAAUCAUUUCAGAUAAUUAAGUGAUCAUGAAAGCAAAUGCCUGCAAAAUAUACACUGAAUUCAACAGCAAGGCAAAAUUGCAAACGAAAUGCUGGUGCCUCUCCAUGAUAAAUACUACAGCCAUACAACAAAGGACUAACCAAAAAAGGAAAAGAAAAGAAGGGGAAAAAAACAUAAAAUUAACAACAAAAUGGUAGGAUCUUACUUCACUAACUAGCCUUGACUUUGUCAUCCCCAACAACAGAGAGUAUUGGCAAGCUGCUCAAAAAUUCAUCAAGACCCUCAAAAAACGCAAUCCCUUCAAUAUUAUCCUCCUCCCCGUUUCCGGCUCCAUUCCCUUCGCUCACUCCUGGCACUGCCUCCUCCACCUCAUUGCUAAACAUUACAUUCAAAUCCAACUUCCCCAAGUCCUUUGCUCCCUUCUUCUUCCCACUAGUCCCCUCUCUCUUCCCUACCACCUCUCCUUGCACAUGACUCCCGCCAUCCACAUUUUGAACAUUCACCUUCUUUGCCCUCUCAUUUUGUGAUUUCUUCACAUUUUUACUAGGGGUUGCUUUCCCUUUGGCAUUUUUUGCUUUCUUUCUUCUACCAUCCCAAUCAUCAUCAUCCGAAUCAGACUCAUCAUCACUCGUGUCAGAAAGAUCUAUGUAGACAUCAUCUUUGUAAAUCACUUUCGGCUCAGAUCUCUUAGAUGGAUUACUCUGUUUUGAUUUUUCUCCUCCUGGCAAAGGGGUAGUAAACAAUGCCGAUAUUGGUGACCAAUUACUACCAAAACCACUUGCACCUUUACCAUGACCGGAAAACCCCAAUGGGAAAUACCCCCAACAACAAAAGUAAGUGUUUUUACCUGUUAUGGGCGGUGAUGGUAUCACUACCGCAUGGAACGCUCGUUUACAUUUCUCACACCUAAUUGCACAGUUUUCAUAACCCUUUGGAUACUCGUAGAGAAUGUAACAGUACGGACAUGCAGUCCAGAAACUCGGCACCUGUGACUCAGUCGCACUUGGCUGGGUCGUGGACAGUGUUGUACGUGAGUCAACGCUAACAGGCUGGGCAGCUGGUCGAGCAGGCUCGGAAGCUUUCAGCUGGGGUGCUGGCCGACUCGGCUCCACUGCUUUCGGCUGCGGAGCUGGCCUACUCGGCUCCACUGCUUUCGGCUGCGGAGCUGGCCUAAUCGGCUCAGUUGCUACAGGCUGUGGUGUAGGACGAAUAGUCUCAGUUGUUUUAGGUUGAGGUACCGGCUGCGGCACAGAACGACUCGGCUCAGUGAUUUUAUGCAGAGGUAUCGGCCGAAUCGGCUCAGUCAUUUUGUGCGGAGUUUCUAAGCGAGUUGACCGAGUUGACUCUGAUUGAGCCACGUCAUCCUCGUCCACUACUACUCUACCAUCCCUGCUCAUUCUAGGGCUUCUCUUCACAUUUCCUUGCGACGAUUGCCCCUGUGAAAACUCUUGACCAGGCAUGCCAAGUUGGCCGAGUGGCCCCAGUUGCCCAAGCUGUCCGAGCUGACUCAACUGCAACUCGUGAUCGUACAUUGCCUUCUUUGACGGGUUCGAGAACACCAUCCAAGCCUCAGAAACAAGUCUAAAAGCAUGAUCAGAAAAAGAAAGCCUAUUCCUGGUAGGAUUCAACAACAAAGCAAGCUUACGGUACUGACUCGCGACAAGUUCCAUGGACUGAGACAAUCUCGGGAGUUGAAGGAUCGCAUAAUAGUCAUGGCUACCACCGCCGUUGUAGUUAAUGAUUCUCAACUCUCCGGCCAGGAGCGUAUCAGCGAUGGCGAUAAUUUGAUCGGAGAACUCUAGGAGCCUCGGGUCAGACUCUCGGGCUCGAAUCGCGAAGGACUUGGCGCCCUGGAAAUCGCGCGCCGUGAGAAGCUUCUCGGCUAUGGUGAGCCACCGCUCCGCUUCUAUUCUGUAGCCACUACCGUCCAUUUUCCCCUUUCUCUGUCUACACUUUUUUCUUAAUUUUUAUUUUUUAGGUCAAGGGAAGAAGAGAGAGAAGAGAGACAAAAGGAAGAGGAACUUUCUGAGUGGACGAAAAAGGACUGUACUUCUCUAGAAAUGAUGACAAUUUUCAAGCUUCGGGUAAGGUAUCAGGCAUUUUAGAACGAGGGCGUUUUAGUCAUUUGGUGAUAUCCAGUUCUGGUAAUCGGAGAUGUCCCUUCUGUUUUGAGCGGACGAAAGAGGACAAUGAAGAAGAGGAAGUGAAAGGUGAGGAAGAGAGACAGUGUGAGGGUAAUAUGGUCAUUUAGGGGGACGGAGCGGAGGGGUCGAGCUUAUGGUUUUCCUAACGUUUUUUUUUCUUCUGGUUGGGAGAGUGUGAG
This 3301-nucleotide unclassified non-coding RNA is filed under the name Hevea brasiliensis (rubber tree). The record is from RNAcentral. Lineage: Eukaryota; Viridiplantae; Streptophyta; Magnoliopsida; Malpighiales; Euphorbiaceae.